This 378-nucleotide long non-coding RNA is filed under the name Setaria viridis. RNAcentral describes it as "long non-coding RNA (SVIR_LNC001862)". Lineage: Eukaryota; Viridiplantae; Streptophyta; Magnoliopsida; Poales; Poaceae. The record is from RNAcentral.
UCACGAUCAUUACUAGAAUCAUCAUCAACAUCACUAACAUCAUCAGACUCAUUCACCCUUGGUCAUUUCAGGGGUGUAAUGUUGGUAGCUCCAACCACUUCUUGUUUUGAUAUUAUCAACCUUAGUUUCCUUUCUUCAUAUGAUUUCAUGUUCUCAAGCAAGCACUCUACAUCUUUAGUGGAAUCAAUUGGCAGGAUAGAUGUAUUAGCAUUUCCUAUUCUCUUCUUGUAGUAGUAGUAGUAGUCCCACAGACCAAAUCCAAGUUCUUCUUUCAAACUCAACAACCAGACUAAGUCUACUUAUUUCCUGUCAAAUUUAGUCCUAACCCGGCACACUAAUUGUCCAUCUGCCCCCAAGAAAUGUAUCGUUACCUCCCAC